UAACAGGUUAAGCUGACGAGUGGCGAACGGGUGAGUAAUAUAUCGGAACGUGCCCAGUCGUGGGGGAUAACUGCUCGAAAGAGCAGCUAAUACCGCAUACGACCUGAGAGUGAAAGCGGGGGAUCGCAAGACCUCGCGCGAUUGGAGCGGCCGAUAUCAGAUUAGGUAGUUGGUGGGGUAAAGGCCCACCAAGCCAACGAUCUGUAGCUGGUCUGAGAGGACGACCAGCCACACUGGGACUGAGACACGGCCCAGACUCCUACGGGAGGCAGCAGUGGGGAAUUUUGGACAAUGGGCGCAAGCCUGAUCCAGCCAUGCCGCGUGCGGGAAGAAGGCCUUCGGGUUGUAAACCGCUUUUGUCAGGGAAGAAAAGGUUCUGGUUAAUACCUGGGACUCAUGACGGUACCUGAAGAAUAAGCACCGGCUAACUACGUGCCAGCAGCCGCGGUAAUACGUAGGGUGCAAGCGUUAAUCGGAAUUACUGGGCGUAAAGCGUGCGCAGGCGGUUAUGCAAGACAGAGGUGAAAUCCCCGGGCUCAACCUGGGAACUGCCUUUGUGACUGCAUGGCUAGAGUACGGUAGAGGGGGAUGGAAUUCCGCGUGUAGCAGUGAAAUGCGUAGAUAUGCGGAGGAACACCGAUGGCGAAGGCA
Molecule: ribosomal RNA, 651 nt
Filed under: uncultured Comamonadaceae bacterium
Lineage: Bacteria; Pseudomonadati; Pseudomonadota; Betaproteobacteria; Burkholderiales; Comamonadaceae
Description: bacterial SSU rRNA
Rfam family: Bacterial small subunit ribosomal RNA
Source: RNAcentral